This 462-nucleotide ribosomal RNA is filed under the name uncultured bacterium. RNAcentral's name for it is "partial 16S ribosomal RNA". It matches the Rfam family "Bacterial small subunit ribosomal RNA", at positions 28 to 507 of the family's 1533-position model. The record is from RNAcentral.
GACGAACGCUGGCGGCGUGCUUAACACAUGCAAGUCGAGCGACGCUCUUCCUUCGGGGAGCUGACGGAGCGGCGAACGGGUGAGUAACACGUGGGCAACCUGCCCCUAGCUCUGGGACAACACCGGGAAACCGGUGCUAAUACCGGAUACGACAUCGAGCGGCAUCUCUCGAUGUGGAAAGUUUUUUCGGCUAGGGAUGGGCCCGCGGCCUAUCAGCUUGUUGGUGGGGUAAUGGCCCACCAAGGCGACGACGGGUAGCCGGCCUGAGUGGGCGACCGGCCACACUGGGACUGAGACACGGCCCAGACUCCUACGGGAGACAGCAGUGGGGAAUAUUGCGCAAUGGGCGAAAGCCUGACGCAGCGACGCCGCGUGAGGGAUGACGGCCUUCGGGUUGUAAACCUCUUUCAGCAGGGACGAAUUCAGACGGUACCUGCAGAAGAAGCACCGGCCAACUACGUG